GCGGGCGUAGUUCAAUGGCAGAACUCCAGCUUCCCAAGCUGGUAGCGCGGGUUCGAUUCCCGUCGCCCGCU
This 71-nucleotide transfer RNA is filed under the name Amnibacterium kyonggiense. RNAcentral's name for it is "tRNA-Gly". It matches the Rfam family "tRNA". From Rfam's summary of the family: Transfer RNA (tRNA) molecules are approximately 80 nucleotides in length. RNAcentral also lists the same sequence under 2 other names. The record is from RNAcentral. Lineage: Bacteria; Bacillati; Actinomycetota; Actinomycetes; Micrococcales; Microbacteriaceae.